AUUGAACGCUGGCGGCAUGCCUUACACAUGCGAGUCGAACGGUAACAGGUCUUCGGUUGCUGACGAGUGGCGGACGGGUGAGUAAUACAUCGGAACGUGCCCAGACGUGGGGGAUAACGAGGCGAAAGCUUUGCUAAUACCGCAUACGAUCUAAGGAUGAAAGCAGGGGACCGCAAGGCCUUGCGCGGUUGGAGCGGCCGAUGGCAGAUUAGGUAGUUGGUGGGAUAAAAGCUUACCAAGCCGACGAUCUGUAGCUGGACUGAGAGGACGACCAGUCACACUGGGACUGAGACACGGCCCAGGCUCCUACGGGAGGCAGCAGUGGGGAAUUUUGGACAAUGGGCGAAAGCCUGAUCCAGCAAUGCCGCGUGCAGGAUGAAGGCCUUCGGGUUGGAAACUGCUUUUGUACGGAACGAAAAGGCUCUGGCUAAUACCUGGGGCACAUGACGGUACCGGAAGAAUAAGCACCGGCUAACUACGUG
Molecule: ribosomal RNA, 482 nt
Filed under: uncultured bacterium
Lineage: Bacteria
Description: partial 16S ribosomal RNA
Rfam family: Bacterial small subunit ribosomal RNA
Source: RNAcentral